RNAcentral lists this ribosomal RNA (401 nucleotides) under uncultured Wolinella sp. RNAcentral's name for it is "bacterial SSU rRNA". It matches the Rfam family "Bacterial small subunit ribosomal RNA", at positions 381 to 774 of the family's 1533-position model. Lineage: Bacteria; Pseudomonadati; Campylobacterota; Epsilonproteobacteria; Campylobacterales; Helicobacteraceae. The record is from RNAcentral.
CCCUGAUCCAGCCAUCCCGCGUGUGCGAUGAAGGCCUUCGGGUUGUAAAGCACUUUUGGCAGGAAAGAAACGUCGCGGGUUAAUACCCUGCGAAACUGACGGUACCUGCAGAAUAAGCACCGGCUAACUCCGUGCCAGCAGCCGCGGUAAUACGGAGGGUGCAAGCGUUACUCGGAAUCACUGGGCGUAAAGAGCACGUAGGCGGCCUUGCAAGUCAGAUGUGAAAUCCAACGGCUUAACCGUUGAACUGCAUUUGAAACUGCAAGGCUAGAGUAUGGGAGAGGUAGGUGGAAUUCUCGGUGUAGGGGUAAAAUCCGUAGAGAUCGAGAGGAAUACUCAUUGCGAAGGCGACCUGCUGGAACAUUACUGACGCUGAGGUGCGAAAGCGUGGGGAGCAAACA